AUUGAACGCUGGCGGCAUGCUUUACACAUGCAAGUCGAACGGCAGCGGGGUAGUGCUUGCACUACUGCCGGCGAGUGGCGAACGGGUGAGUAAUAUAUCGGAACGUACCGAGUAAUGGGGGAUAACCAAUCGAAAGAUUGGCUAAUACCGCAUACGUCCUGAGGGAGAAAGCGGGGGAUCGCAAGACCUCGCGUUAUUCGAGCGGCCGAUGACUGAUUAGCUAGUUGGUGGGGUAAAGGCCUACCAAGGCGACGAUCAGUAGCGGGUCUGAGAGGACGAUCCGCCACACUGGGACUGAGACACGGCCCAGACUCCUACGGGAGGCAGCAGUGGGGAAUUUUGGACAAUGGGGGCAACCCUGAUCCAGCCAUGCCGCGUGUAUGAAGAAGGCCUUCGGGUUGUAAAGUACUUUUGUUAGGGAAGAAAAGGGAAGUGCUAAUACCACUUUUUGCUGACGGUACCUAAAGAAUAAGCACCGGCUAACUACGUG
This 490-nucleotide ribosomal RNA is filed under the name uncultured bacterium. RNAcentral describes it as "partial 16S ribosomal RNA". It matches the Rfam family "Bacterial small subunit ribosomal RNA", at positions 30 to 507 of the family's 1533-position model. The record is from RNAcentral.